AUUGAACGCUGGCGGCAUGCCUUACACAUGCAGGUCGAACGGUAACAGGUCUUCGGAUGCUGACGAGUGGCGAACGGGUGAGUAAUACAUCGGAACGUGCCCGAUCGUGGGGGAUAACGAGGCGAAAGCUUUGCUAAUACCGCAUACGAUCUACGGAUGAAAGCGGGGGAUCUUCGGACCUCGCGCGGACGGAGCGGCCGAUGGCAGAUUAGGUAGUUGGUGGGAUAAAAGCUUACCAAGCCGACGAUCUGUAGCUGGUCUGAGAGGAUGAUCAGCCACACUGGGACUGAGACACGGCCCAGACUCCUACGGGAGGCAGCAGUGGGGAAUUUUGGACAAUGGGCGAAAGCCUGAUCCAGCCAUGCCGCGUGCAGGAUGAAGGCCUUCGGGUUGUAAACUGCUUUUGUACGGAAAGAAAAGCCUCUUUCUAAUAAAGAGGGGUCAUGACGGUACCGUAAGAAUAAGCACCGGCUAACUACGUG
This 482-nucleotide ribosomal RNA is filed under the name uncultured bacterium. Its description in RNAcentral is "partial 16S ribosomal RNA". It matches the Rfam family "Bacterial small subunit ribosomal RNA", at positions 30 to 507 of the family's 1533-position model. The record is from RNAcentral.